UACGUAGGCAGGCGAGCGUUUGUUCGGAGUUACUGGGCGUAAAGGGUGUGUAGGCGGCCUAUUAAGUUUGGUGUGAAAUCUCCCGGCUCAACCGGGAGGGUGCGCCGGAAAACUGGGAGGCUAGAGUGCGGGAUGGGAGAGUGGAAUUCCGUGGUGUAGCGGUGAAAUGCGUAGAUAUCAGGAGGAACACCGGUGGUGCAGACGGCUCGUCUGGACCGUAACUGACGCUGAGACACGAAAGCGUGGGUAGCAAACAGG
RNAcentral lists this ribosomal RNA (258 nucleotides) under uncultured bacterium. Its description in RNAcentral is "partial 16S ribosomal RNA". It matches the Rfam family "Bacterial small subunit ribosomal RNA", at positions 524 to 776 of the family's 1533-position model. The record is from RNAcentral.